AUUGAAGGCUGGCGGAAUGCUUUACACAUGCAAGUCGAACGGUAGAGGGGGCAACCCCUCGAGAGUGGCGAACGGGUGAGUAAUAUAUCGGAACGUGCCCAGUCGUGGGGGAUAACGUAGCGAAAGUUACGCUAAUACCGCAUACGAUCUAAGGAUGAAAGCGGGGGACCGUAAGGCCUCGCGCGAUUGGAGCGGCCGAUGUCAGAUUAGGUAGUUGGUGAGGUAAAGGCUCACCAAGCCGACGAUCUGUAGCUGGUCUGAGAGGACGACCAGCCACACUGGGACUGAGACACGGCCAAGACUCCUACGGGAGGCAGCAGUGGGGAAUUUUGGACAAUGGGCGCAAGCCUGAUCCAGCCAUUCCGCGUGCAGGACGAAGGCCUUCGGGUUGUAAACUGCUUUUGUACGGAACGAAAAGGCUCUGGUUAAUACCUGGGGCUCAUGACGGUACCGUAAGAAUAAGCACCGGCUAACUACGUGCCAGCCGCCGCCGUAA
This 496-nucleotide ribosomal RNA is filed under the name uncultured bacterium. RNAcentral's name for it is "partial 16S ribosomal RNA". It matches the Rfam family "Bacterial small subunit ribosomal RNA", at positions 30 to 523 of the family's 1533-position model. The record is from RNAcentral.